CCUGCCCCUGCCCGCUGGCCAGAGCCGACCCCACCUGCAACAGCACCUUCCUGCACCUGGACACCCGGGCCUGCUACCCGGGGCCCUGCCUGGGUGAGUGCGCACAGGAAAAAAUACAGGGAGUAGCAUGUUUUCCCAAACCCCAGAUUUCCAACCCCCCCCCCCCGCCCGAGAUAUCCAUCUAUCUCCCUGAUAUUUGAUCUCGUUUCUUUCCCCUUCCCACCAUCUUUUCCUCUGAGCCCUUUGGGAUGUGACCCUUGCUGCUGAGUGACAGGGAACACGGCGAAUUAGGACUUGUGUGAACUCUUGGCUCCCUCUUGCCCUUUUCCUGCGCAGGGCGUUGGCCAGGGCUGGGAUGAGAGUAGAGGGCAGGGGAGGGGCGGGAAGGGAGGAGAGAAGCUGGAGGGGCCUGGCUGGCAUCCCCCCACCUUGGUCCCCAGAGGAGUGUGUGUGGAGCAGCUGGAGCAGCUGGACGCGAUGCUCCUGUCGGGUGCUGGUGCAGCAGCGCUAUCGGCACCAGGGACCAGCGCCCCGAGGGGCGGGGACGGGGGCGGGCCCCCCCUGCACACGACUGGACGGCCACUUCCGGCCUUGCCCCCUCGGCAACUGCUCUGGUGAGAACCCCGGAGCCGGAGGCCGGAGAGCUGAGCCCUGCCCUUGCCCGCACUGACCCCCGCUCUCAGCAGCCCCGUGACCCCCAUGCCUCACGUCCCACCCCUCCCCGCUCCACUGCGAUCUCCCCACUUUGUAGCUGCAGGCUUUGUCCACUUGCGGCUGCUCCCAGGCCCGGAAGGUCUGGCCCACCUCUCGUUGUGGCCACCCUCUCAAUCUCUGCCCCCCUGGCUCCCAUCUGCCAACCUCUGGAGCACCUGCCAGGCCCCUCGCUCCCCGCAGGCCCUAUCCUCCGUGCAGCUACCUGGCUCUCCAAGCCCCGACCAUCAUGACCCUUCCCUAGAGACAGCCACAGGGGCCGAGUGGGCGUUAGACGGGGCAGCACUGGUCAGUCCUUACUGGCAGCCUGGGGCCAGGCUUACACUCUUACGAGGAGGCCCCGAGGGGCCUUGAUGGGACCGUGCACUGUGUGCUCCAGGCUUGGGGCGGGGGCAGGUGGAGGGUGUCUCUGGGCUGCCCCCCCACCAGCCUGCUGGCCUCUGUUCCCCCCCAGAGGACAGUUGCACACCUCCCUUUGAGUUCCAGGCCUGUGGCUCCCCCUGUGCCGGGCUCUGUGCCACGCACCUGAGCCGUCGGCUCUGCCAGGACCUGCCACCCUGCCAGCCUGGCUGCUACUGCCCUGAGGUGAGGGGCGGAGCCAGAGGAGAUGCCCCAGGAGAAGCGGGUCUCGGCCCACACUCCUGCCUUCCUUCUCUCUGCGAUGCCUGUGGCGACACCCCUCCCCACGAUGCCUCUUAAGGGUCCCUCACCUUCUGCCUCGUGCCCGUGUGCCCAUCCAUUUGCUCGGCAACAUGCACGUGCCCCUGCUGUGAGCACUCACACUACUGGCACUCGGGGACAGAGAUGGCUGCCACACAGCUCUGUCCCUGUGUGCCCUUCUGCGCAGGGGCUGCUGGAGCAGGCUGGGGGCUGCAUUCCCCCAGAGCAGUGUAGCUGCCUACACAUCACAGGGGAAGGAGCCAGGGUGACUCUGGCUCCCGGGGACCGCCUGCAGCUGGGCUGCAAAGAGUGGUGAGUUAAGGGGGCGGGGAGGCAGCGUCAGAGGGCUGGGGCCAGGGAAUGGGGGGGCAGGUGGCCCCACAGGGAAAUCGCCCUGGCCUGGACCCAACCCCAACCUCAUCCUGCUCCAAAUGAGCCCAGAGCUCAGGCCACCCCUACGUGAGCCCCACCAGCCACCUCUCUGGGCUGAGUCUGGUCUCCCCAGUCUUACCCCGACCACCCCCUCCCACAGUGAAUGCCGGCGUGGGGAGCUGAAGUGCACCAGCCAGGGCUGUCAAGGUAACGCUGCCCUGGAGAGACCCUAACUGUCCCCAUUUGCCCAGGAUUGGAAGGUUUUCUGGAUCUGGGACCAGGACAGUCCCAGACAAACCGGGAUGUUUGGUCACCCUCCCCUGACCCUCCCAGCAACCUCCUGCAGCCUUUCCUGUUUCCAGCCCUUCCUGGUCAUAACUGGGUCUCCUCCCUCCCCCUCUACUGGGGCUUGUGGUCUCAGGGAGGGUCACUGGGAAGGGUGCCCACUCGCUGCCCUUUCUAGGUCUUCUGCCUCUGAGCGGGUGGUCCGAGUGGUCACCCUGUGGGCCUUGCCUGCCCCCUGGUGUGCUGGCCCCCGCCUCCAGGACUGCCCUAGAGGAGCGCCGGUCUCAGCACCCAGCUGGCCUCUCCCCGACCUUGGCCCCCUUGCUGGCUUCGGAGCAGCACCGCCAUCGCCUCUGUUUGGACCCGGAGACUGGGAGGCCAUGGGCUGGGGACCCAGACCUGUGCACUGCACCACUCAGCCAGCAACGCCUCUGCCCGGACCCUAGGGCCUGCCAUGGUAAUACCGAGGGGCAGAGACCAACAGGGCAGGAGGGAGCCUGAGAUGAGAGAGUGGAGGGAGGGGUACCUGGCCAGGUAGGCCUGGGCCAUGUUGUUUAUUUCAGUAGCCAGGCGCUUAACAAGCCUGCUAAGCCUCCUGCUUGCCCCCAGGGCCUGCGGGAUUUGGGGGUAUUUGGCGAUCUGGCGCUGGAGGGGGGGCGGGCCGCAGCAGGAAGGAUCCCUGCAGCCGAUGAAAGGGGAGGAAGGGGGCUUUGGGUGCUCCGGGCCUAGCAGAGUGUCUGUAGGGCUGGAGCCCAAGGCCUUGGGGUGGGAGCAAGAAGCCAGGGCGGGGCCCUGGGCGCUGACUUCCAUUUUACCUCCCCAGACUUAUGCCAGUGGAGUCCUUGGGGGCCCUGGAGCCCCUGUCAGGUGUCGUGCAGUGGGGGCUUCCGGCUACGCUGGAGGGAGGCAGGGGGCCCCCCUGGAGGAGGCUGCCGGGGGCCUUGGGCUCAGACUGAGAGCUGCAACGUGGAGCCCUGCCCAGGUAACCCCCAUCCUGGCAUCUGGAGGCGGGGCCAAGGACUGUAACACGGGAGAUAGCACCUGAUGAGGAGGUGGCCUCUGCUCCUGGAGGCGUGCCCUGGAGGGCAGGGUGCUGUCCUGGGGGCCCAAAAGUCGGUCCCCAACACAGACUCCUACCUUCUGGUCCUCAGGGGAGAGCUGUGAAGCCCAGGACACCGUGCCCACCCUUGACUGUGCCAACCAGUGCCCUAGAAGCUGUGUGGACCUCUGGGACCGCGUGCAGUGUCUGCAGGGACCAUGCCGUCCAGGUGGCCGGGCCACGCCCACAGCCCAGCCUGGGAGCCCUAGGGCCUCAGACCAGAGCAGCUUGCUUCGCUGAUCCCUACCAGAGAGCAUGUGACCUGCGGGCGGGGACAUGUUACAGGAUCAGGGGUUAUAGGGCAGCAAAGUGGAUCCUUGGGUCACUUUCAGCACCUGGGUAGGGGUCCUGCGUAGAGCGAGCCUUACCUAACACAGGCUUUGUCUGUGAGGACGUUCUGGCAGCCUCAGGGGUCCCUGGGGUGGGGCCCACACAGGGUGGGCUGGAGUGACCCCUUCCUGUGCUCCAGCAGUGGAAACAGUGUGGAGACCGGGUCAAGUGGGGACUCGGGGGGCUGGGGUAGGGGAGGGUGCUCCAGGGUCAGCCUGAAGCUCCGGACCCCAUCUGGCUGCCAGAGGGACCCAUGAUGUGUGCCCGAACCUUGCUUGUCCUCCCCACCCCCCUCAGGCUGCCGCUGCCCCCCUGGCCAACUGGUGCAGGAUGGGCGCUGUGUGCCCAUCUCCUCCUGCCGCUGUGGCCUCCCCAGCCCCAAUGCCUCAUGGGUGGUGGCCCCAGCCGAGGUGGUACAGCUGGACUGCAAAAACUGGUAUGGCUGCCCACUGGUGGCCAAGCAGGGGAUGGGGAGUUUUAGGUGGGAGGCUUGGGACAGGUCAGGGUGGAGGGCGUUAGCGGGAAGCAAAGGCUCUGUUCCCCUUGACUUGUGCCCUUGACCCCUGUCCGCAGCACCUGUACCAACGGGUCCCUAGUGUGCCCACGCCAUGAGUGCCCAGUCCUUGGGCCUUGGUCAGCCUGGAGCAGCUGCUCUGCUCCCUGUGGUGGGGGCAGCAUGGGGCGACGUAGGAGCUGUGAGGAGGGUCCUAUAGGGGCGCCAUGCCAGGCCCAGGACACAGAGCAACGGCAGGAAUGUAACCCGCAGCCCUGCCCUGGUGAGCACCUGGGGUGGGGGAGUGAGGGGGGAGCCUCCCUGCCCUCUGGUGCUGCUGAGCUCGGCCGGCGUUCAACAGCGUGGGCGGUGGGUCCCGAGGCGGUCCCCUCCCUGGUACUCCACCUCACCAUCUGUGCGCUCCCCCCAGAGUGCCCGCCUGGCCAGGUGCCCAGUGCCUGUGCCGCUUUGUGCCCACGCCUCUGCUCGCAUCUGCAGCCUGGUGCCCUCUGUGCGCAGGAACCCUGCCGGCUCGGCUGUGGCUGCCCCGGAGAGCAGGUAUGGACAGUGCCCUGACUGCCGUAUGGGGGGGCAGGCAGGUGGGGGGCAGAGAAGUGUGGUGUGAGCAGAACUGAGCCCGCGCCUUCCUGCCGCAGCUGCUGCACAAUGGCACGUGUGUGCCCCCUGCGGCGUGCCCCUGCACCCAGAUCUCUCUGCCCUGGGGCCUUACCUUGACUCUUGAAGAACAGGCCCGGGAGCUUCCCCCAGGAACUGUGCUCACCUGGAACUGCACGCGCUGGUGAGGGCCCCGGGCAGGGGGGACAGGGGGAGGAGGGAGCUAGGGCAGGGAGGGGGUGGAGGGCAGCAUUGCUGAGAAGGGGGGUGGGGAGGAGGGCACCGGAGGCGUCCGAACACGUGCUUCUGUCUUCCCAGUAUCUGCCAAGAUGGAGCCUUCAACUGCUCCCCAGCUGACUGUCGUGGUGAGAUGUGGCUGUCUAGGCCCCUGCUGGUCCUUCCAAAGCCAGGGUGGGGUUGGCCCCGAUGAGGGCAGAGGGCGCUGCCUGCCCUAGGCAAAGCUGUCUCUCCCAAGAAGCCCCUUCCUUGCUCCGUCCACACUGGUGUUGGGGGCAUUCCUGUGAGCACACGGCUGUGAGUGAUGCAGGAAGUGGAGGGUCUUUCCCUGCAGAUGAGGAAGCAAAGGCUGAGGGUGAGCUAAAGUAGGACCCUUGUCUGGCAUCUGCCCUGUGCUGUUUUACCCCCAUCUGAUCAAAGUCAACAGGCGUUUGCUAAGGGCUCACAGGUGCCCAGCUCGGGCACACUGGGCUCUGUGUGGAUUCAGAGGCACACAGGCCUGGUGAGUCCUGAGCAGCCCCAGUCUGGCUGCUGAGGGCCAGCUCACCCACCGGAACAGGUAGGGACAGGAGACAGUUUCUGGCUCACUGACCAGCAGGCUGCACCCACAGGACUGGAAAUCGGUGCCAUGAAUGGAGAGGUCAGGGUGGACAGGACUGGUCAGGGGAGGCUUCCUGGAGAAGGCCAGACUCGAGUUAGGCCCCGUUAGUAUUUGGAAGGUGGAUAAGAGCAGACGGGCAUGUUUGGAGGCCUAGAGGCCCAGAGCCAGCCGAGUGGACAGCACUGGGAAGGCAGGAGGGACUCUAGGGGUGUCUGGUGUGGGAGGGGGGAGAAUCGAAGCCGGACCCAGGGCUGACCUGAGUGGUGGUGGUGGUGGUGGGGUCUUCCCUGGCAGAGUGCCCCUCCGGGGAAAUGUGGCAGCAGGUGGCCCCUGGGGAGCCAGGGCCCUGCGAGCGGACGUGCCGGGAGCCCAAUGCCACGGAGACCCAGGGCAGCUGCGGUGUGGGGCAGGCCCCAGGCUGUGUGUGCCAGCACGGACACUUCCGCAGCCAGGCGGGCCCGGGCCCCUGCGUGCCCAUAGACCACUGCGAGUGCUGGCACCGUGGGCGUCCCCACCCGGUGAGACACUGUAGCCCCUCCGGGCCACCCAGCCCUCCCCCACCCCCGCCCCCCUCCACUGGCUCCUCCCCCUGUGCCAGGAUCUGCAGCAGCAGACAGCUCGGCCAUCAGCCAUCACCCAUCACACGGGGACAGUCUCCAGGCCCCAUCAGCCCACCUCCCUCCCGAGACUCUUGUCCCUGACUUUGGUCUCUGGCCCCUGUCCUGACUGGUUUCAGGGAUGAGGGAUUGGCGGGGGGUGGGGGAGGGUGUAGUAUAGAAAAGUCUAACUGGCAGAGAUGGGUAGAGAUGGACGGGAGGGUUCUCCCCUCUCCCCAGCCUGGAUCCGAAUGGCAGGAGGCCUGUGAGAGCUGCCGCUGCCUCCGUGGGAGGAGUGUCUGCACCCAGCACUGCCCCCUCCUCACCUGUGCCCAGGUACCCGCCUGCAGCCCUGCUGCCCUCCUUCCUGGGUCCCUCCCCAGAGGCUGGUCUUAGGGCCUUGAGCAGGCAGUGCUGGGGCCCUGGGGUCAUCCUCCUGAGUGCACUGGGGACCACUCCCUCUGCAGGGCGAGGUGACCGUGCAGGAACCAGGGAGCUGCUGUCCCACUUGCCGCCGAGAGGCUCCGGGUAUGCCGGGGACCUGGGGCACUUCCUGCCAUGCCUCUCCCUGCUCUGGGCCCUUCUCCCAAACUGCUCCCGUGCCCACCCUAGGGGGCCUGCCGUCCCCAGUGCCGCCCACCAUGGGGAUCAGCAGAGUGGUGACGCCCAGUGCUGCAUCAUGGCGCCUGGCCACCGCUGCCCCAACAGCCUCAGGUGCCCCUCAGGUCCACAGUGUCCCCUUUACACAGAGUCCCCGCAUCGAGGCCCUUUCUCUCUGCCCUGCUCCCGCCUUCUGUGCUCACCUUCUUCCCACAGAGGGGCAGGCAGCCUCCUGCCGGCAUCUCACGGAGCUGCGCAACGUCACCAAGGGCGCCUGCUACCUGGACCAGGUGGAAGUGAGCUACUGCAGUGGGCACUGCCCGUCCAGCAUCAGCGUCAUGCCUGAGGUGAGCGAGGGGGCUGCCGUGCAGGCCCAGGAGAGUCAGGUCAGCCUGCACCCCUGAGGGACUGCUGCGGCCAGCCUAGGCCUGGGCAGUGCCCAGGGGACACGAGGGACUCGGUUGAUCUCAAAGGGGCACAGCUCAGAGCCAGGGGCGAGUUUUCACCAAGGCGGUGGCCUGCACCUGCUGCUUGGCCCUGUCACCCUCAGCGGGGCUUGGGCCCCAAGCCUACUCCAGGCCUCCACCCUGUGCUGAGGGCUUCCCAGGACAUCAGCAAGAAAGGCACAAAGGACCUACGUUAGGCUCUGAAAUCACAGCCCAUCAUAUAGUGAGGACAAGUUCUUUAGGACAGACCAUUUACACACAGCAUUGUCCCAGACAUUCCUGGCAAGGCAUAUUAUGAGCACGUCCCAGAAGACCUCUGCCCUGCGCGUGCUCUCCUUGGACCCAGAAGGCCCAGCCCUGCUCCAUGUGCAGACCUUGUCAGGAGCUCUGUGCCCACCCUGACUCCCCUCAUCCUGAGCCUGGAGAGCUAUGGCUCCAGUUCUAGCCUGGGAGGGUCCUGGCCCUGCCUCAGCUCACCGAUGGUGUGGCCAUUCCCUCCUGUCUCGACCCACCUGGGUCAUCUACUCCUGGAAGACAGAGGUGCUUUCCUACCUAGUCCUCAACGCUUGGCCACUCUCUGCUCCCCUGGGUGCUCCCGGUACCUCCUGGUAUUCCCAGACCAUUCCCAAACAAUAUUUGGAUUUGUUAAAACAUAGGAGAGUGGUUAAGAGAUAAGUGAGUGAUAGAGGGAUAGAAAUCAGAUGGAGAUUUGUUUUUACUGAGGUACAAUUGACAUGCAAUGUUAGUUUCAGGCGCACACAUAGCGAUUCCACAAUUCUGUAAAUUACACAGCGCUCCCCACAAUAAGUGUAGUCGCCAUUCAGUGGUAUUGUGUUAUUACACAGCGCUCCCCACAAUAAGUGUAGUCACCAUUCAGUGGUAUUGUGUUAUUAACUAUACUCCCUAUGCUGUACUCUUCAUCCCCAGAGGGGUUUUUUUUUUUAACUGAAUCUUUUGUAACUCGGUGCUGUUGAAUACAGUGCCUAUUUCAAAAGUAAAAUUACAAUGGAAUUAUACAGAAGUUAGAUCAAAUAUUCGGUGACACUCACGUAGUUACUAUAUAAUCGAAUAGCAGGAGGGGUCUGGAGUGAGAACUCACUUUGCACUUAGGAUCACAAUUGUGCAGUUUAGAGCUUCCCACCUUGCAGCGUCAGAAAGUAUUAGAUCCGCCUAAGGGGAUGGUAAGCAAGCCCCUUGGGGUAGGGCCGUAUCUCUCCCCUGCUGCCAGGAGGCAGUGAUGAGCAGUUAAAAGCAUUCUUACCGUGCAGGUGCGCGCUCAGAUGGCUGGGGCUUACAGUGAAGGAGGUGGGCUUCUUGGGGAAACGGGAGCUUGAUGGCGACACAUCCCUUCCUUACCCCGCUGUCCUGCUUGGCCAGGAGUGUUGGGCCCUGGCCGUACCCCGGAUGGGAAGGCCAAGAGAGCGAAGGGAGGUGGCUCGGGCAAACUCGCGUGGCCCCUCCCCAGCUCAGCCACGCCCUCCCGCAGGAGCCAUACCUGCAGAGCCAGUGUGACUGCUGCAGCUACAGCCUGGACCCCGAGAACCCGGUGCGGGUCCUGCACCUGCGCUGUCCCGACGGCCACGCGGAGCCCGUGGUGCUGCCGGCCAUCCGCAGCUGCCAGUGCAGCGCCUGCCAGGGUGGGUCUGGGCGGGGCGGGGCUGGGGUGGGAGGGCCGGGGACCGAGGCUGGACACCUGCAGGGGCGGGGCCGGGCUUUCCGAAAGGCGCCCGGUUUCCCGAAGCUCAGGCCCUCGUGGGAUUCAUCCUUCUUGACCCCUUCUGACCCUCUUCGUCCCCCGUCUUGGCUUGCUUGUUGGCUUCGUCUCCAAUGCAGCGCAAGCUUGGGUGUUUGGAGUCGGUCACAGCUGCUUCCUCCCAGCUCAUCUGUUUCCUUCCUUGCUGAGCAUCCGUGACCUCAGCUUCGCGACCUGACUGACUGUGCACAGGCUUUUGGGGGGGGGGGCUUGGUGGGAGCGCAUGUGUGAAGCGCCUGCCAGGUGCCUGGUUCUUGAUAGGUCCCCGAGGCCACAUUGUGGCAGGUGAGAAACAGGGGCAGGGGCGCUCACAGCGCCUGGGUGGAGUGCAGGGCAAAAGCACGCCUUUCUCUGGGCUUCUUCCUGGCGGGGCUUCUCUCCUGCCAGUUUGCUCCACUGCUCCCCCUCUGGCUGCACCCCUUCCCGGCCUGACCACUGCCUCUGUGCCAGUGCAUCUCCCCCUUAUCUGUCCUCCAGGAGGUGAUUUCUCAAAGCACUGACGGUCCCGCUGGAUGAGGCUGCCCAGCCACCACCCCUCGUGCGAUCACCGGGCCCAGAGGCACCGACCCCCUCCUCCCGUGCCCACCCAUCCACUCCAUGCCCUGGUACCAGCAUAUCCCAAAUAAAGUGACAUCAGCAGC
RNAcentral lists this long non-coding RNA (9439 nucleotides) under Lynx pardinus (Iberian lynx). Lineage: Eukaryota; Metazoa; Chordata; Mammalia; Carnivora; Felidae. The record is from RNAcentral.